Molecule: ribosomal RNA, 327 nt
Filed under: uncultured eukaryote
Lineage: Eukaryota
Description: partial 18S ribosomal RNA
Rfam family: Eukaryotic small subunit ribosomal RNA
Source: RNAcentral
CCCUUAGAUGUUCUGGGCCGCACGCGCGCUACACUGACGAAUGCAACGAGCUUAUAACCUUGGCCGAAAGGUCUGGGUAAUCUCCAAAUUUCGUCGUGAUGGGGAUAGAUUAUUGCAAUUAUUAAUCUUCAACGAGGAAUGCCUAGUAAGCGCAAGUCAUCAGCUUGCGUUGAUUACGUCCCUGCCCUUUGUACACACCGCCCGUCGCUCCUACCGAUUGAAUGGUCCGGUGAAGCGUUCGGACCGUGGCCUUUGGACGGUUCGCCGUCUGUUGGCUGCGGGAAGUUCGUUAAACCUUAUCAUUUAGAGGAAGUAAAAGUCGUAACA